Monodelphis domestica (gray short-tailed opossum) is the source of this 255-nucleotide long non-coding RNA. RefSeq lists it as uncharacterized. The record is from RefSeq and is a predicted model, not a curated record. NCBI's taxonomy places the organism in Eukaryota, Metazoa, Chordata, Mammalia, Didelphimorphia, Didelphidae.
AGGUGGAAUGGGAACACUGAUUUCUUUUGAGAAAAAAAAUCAUCAAGGAAAGAUGGAGGGAAAGGUAUGUGACCCCGGACAAGUCACCAACCUUGGCAACUAAGAAGACUAUAAAUUCGAGAGGAAUGGCUAAUUUGUGUCAGUGGAGAGAAUUUCCCAACAAGGAGAUCCCUAUAACAAAGAAAUUACAGAUUCCCAUCACUCAUAUAAGUACCAUCCUCCUCCCCAAAAGGAAAAUAAAAAUCAUCCAUAACA